This is an RNA transcript of Malaclemys terrapin pileata, 1745 nucleotides long. It is a transcript of the gene named heterogeneous nuclear ribonucleoprotein A2/B1, with no coding region annotated. The transcript is spliced from 12 exons. NCBI's taxonomy places the organism in Eukaryota, Metazoa, Chordata, Testudines, Emydidae. The record is from RefSeq and is a predicted model, not a curated record.
GGUGCGCAGCACAGGGAGGCGGGGGUACACGCUGCGGCAACAGCGCAAGCGGAGGGAAGUCCUAGAGCCGCCUGACAGACCGUUUAACCGAACUCCCGUUACGCUAGCGAGCCGCGUGCGCCCUAGGGGUGACCAUGGAGGGCAGUAAGCGAACCGGGUCUCUCUCCGGCCCUGCGAAACGCCGGGAUCAGGCCGGGGAGGCACAGAUGAGAGAAAAGGAGCAGUUUCGCAAACUGUUCAUUGGUGGCUUGAGCUUUGAAACAACAGAAGAAAGUUUGAGAAACUACUAUGAGCAAUGGGGGAAACUUACAGACUGUGUGGUGAUGAGGGAUCCUGCAAGCAAACGAUCGAGAGGAUUUGGUUUUGUAACAUUCUCCUCCAUGGCCGAAGUUGAUGCAGCCAUGGCUGCAAGACCUCACUCAAUUGAUGGAAGGGUAGUUGAGCCAAAACGAGCAGUAGCCAGAGAGGAAUCUGGAAAACCUGGUGCUCAUGUUACUGUGAAAAAGCUGUUUGUUGGUGGAAUUAAGGAAGAUACUGAGGAACACCACCUUCGAGACUACUUUGAGGAAUAUGGGAAAAUUGACACUAUUGAAAUAAUUACAGAUAGACAAUCUGGUAAAAAGAGAGGUUUUGGCUUUGUUACGUUUGAUGACCAUGAUCCUGUGGAUAAAAUUGUAUUGCAGAAAUACCACACCAUCAACGGCCAUAAUGCAGAAGUAAGAAAAGCUUUAUCUAGACAAGAAAUGCAAGAAGUUCAAAGCUCUAGGAGUGGAAGAGGAGGUAACUUCGGCUUUGGGGAUUCACGUGGAGGUGGUGGCAACUUUGGUCCAGGACCAGGAAGCAACUUCAGAGGUGGAUCUGAUGGAUAUGGAAGUGGUCGUGGAUUUGGUGAUGGAUACAAUGGAUAUGGUGGAGGACCAGGAGGUGGCAAUUUUGGAGGUAGUCCUGGUUAUGGAGGAGGAAGAGGAGGAUAUGGUGGUGGAGGACCUGGAUAUGGCAACCAGGGUGGGGGCUACGGAGGUGGUUAUGACAACUAUGGAGGAGGCAAUUAUGGAAGUGGAAACUACAAUGAUUUUGGAAACUAUAACCAACAGCCCUCAAACUAUGGUCCAAUGAAGAGUGGAAAUUUUGGUGGUAGCAGGAACAUGGGGGGACCAUAUGGUGGAGGAAACUAUGGUCCAGGAGGCAGUGGAGGAAGUGGUGGAUAUGGAGGGAGGAGCCGUUACUGAGCUUCUACAAACUUGCCAUGGCUUUGAUAUGAGCCAUCGACAAGCAUAGACUGCUGCUACUGUACACUGCUACAGUUGAACAAAUGAGACCUGCAAGUGUCCAUUAGUAAAGUUUUGCAAGGGUUCCAUACCUGGUGUUGGUAGUUAAAAUGGAAGGUGCCAUGCUGCAGGUAACAAAUGAAGAAGUGGUCAACCACAGACAUGCUUCAAGAAAUAAGAAAUUUUGAAUCAUCAGAAAAUAAUUGCUUUUUCUGGCUUCAUUAAAAAUCUAUAGGUUAAAUGAAUCCUGAAAAUAAAACAUCUCCGUUAGUACAGCAUCCUGUAAUGCUGGGGUUUUUAAAAAUAUAAAAUGAUAGUAACUGUCUGUAAAUCUCUUGAAUAAAAUUCAGGCGGGCUAGGAAAAGCAGACCACUAAUGUUAUGAAAUAGCAAAUGUUCUGUGAAUAGAAACAUUAAAUAUAUAUAUUUUUAAAAUAAUUUUCAUAGCUUUAAAAUAAAAAUAUUUUAUACCAAAGUA